RNAcentral lists this unclassified non-coding RNA (338 nucleotides) under uncultured fungus. RNAcentral describes it as "sequence contains ITS1". The stretch from base 1 to 103 matches the Rfam family "5.8S ribosomal RNA", at positions 50 to 154 of the family's 154-position model. Lineage: Eukaryota; Fungi. The record is from RNAcentral.
GAAGUGCGAUAAGCAGUGCGAAUUGCAGAACCGUGAGUCAUCAGAUUUUUGAACGCAAUUGGCGCCGAUAGGCAUCCCUGUCGGCAUGUUUGUUUCAGUGUCUCGUUUUCUCCUCACCCAAAUCUUAAUGCAGGAGAUACCCUUCUCUUGUUAAGCCUGAAGGCACUCUGAGCCCUGCUAGCGACAGACUUCGGUUGUGGUCGCACUCAAUGCAGCAGUCACAUUGUUUACAGUGUGAACUCAUUGAGCGUAGAGUCAGUGCAGCUUGUCUGCGAGUGCUUAGUUCUCUCGAACUCUUCUUGUAUCUGAAAUCAAGCAGGAUCACCCGCUGAACUUAA